This is a non-coding RNA of Cinara cedri, 628 nucleotides long. The record is from the annotation of a GenBank genome assembly. Lineage: Eukaryota; Metazoa; Arthropoda; Insecta; Hemiptera; Aphididae.
AUAAAAUAUAAUAUUUCUGACUAAUGUCUGCGAUUGCAAAAUGAUACUGUUGCGUCCACAGAAAAAUUGUCCGUGGGUGCAAGUGCGCUCUCAGUGCCCCCGACAUAUACCGUCACUGCAGGAUUUAUUAUUAUUAUUUGUUUUAUAUUUUCGUACAACGAAAUUUUUUUCCUUUGAUUCCAUAAGUGUACCUACGUAUUUUCAAAACCUAUGCAUGCAGUGUUUAACAGUGACGGUUAUAAUCGACUCAGUGUUCUAAAAUUCAAUUCACACAAUCAUUACCAUGAUUAAUACUCUUUUAUGAUUAUUUAUGAUAAACAAAAAACGUACUAGGAGGGAGGGAGGAGGAGGUGAUCCGUCUAUCUUCCCUCUAAUAAUCGCCACUAUAUUCAUUUCCGAAACUCGAGUUCGGUUGUAUUGAACGUUAUAGGAAAUUUACUCGAGCUCUUCUUCCCCGGGUCCGACGAUACAGCGUUUUGCUACAUUGACUGUACGUGCGGUUGAAAAACCGAAACGGCUUUCUUCUCGGACGGGCGUCGUCGUCGUCGUCGUCAAAUUCACGCGGGCACGUUAGGCGUUUACCGGGUUUCCGGCGACUAGGUUACUCUCUUAAUCGCGGGGCAUGGUC